CUUCGGGGGCGAUUAUGGGCGGCGAGCGGCGGACGGGUGAGUAAUGCCUGGGAAAUUGCCCUGAUGUGGGGGAUAACCAUUGGAAACGAUGGCUAAUACCGCAUAAUAGCUUCGGCUUAAAGAGGGGGACCUUCGGGCCUCUCGCGUCAGGAUAUGCCCAGGUGGGAUUAGCUAGUUGGUGAGGUAAGGGCUCACCAAGGCGACGAUCCCUAGCUGGUCUGAGAGGAUGAUCAGCCACACUGGAACUGAGACACGGUCCAGACUCCUACGGGAGGCAGCAGUGGGGAAUAUUGCACAAUGGGCGCAAGCCUGAUGCAGCCAUGCCGCGUGUAUGAAGAAGGCCUUCGGGUUGUAAAGUACUUUCAGCAGUGAGGAAGGCGGAUGUGUUAAUAGCGCAUUCGUUUGACGUUAGCUGCAGAAGAAGCACCGGCUAACUCCGUGCCAGCAGCCGCGGUAAUACGGAGGGUGCGAGCGUUAAUCGGAAUUACUGGGCGUAAAGCGCAUGCAGGUGGUCUGUUAAGUCAGAUGUGAAAGCCCGGGGCUUAACCUCGGAAUAGCAUUUGAAACUGGCAGGCUAGAGUACUGUAGAGGGGGGUAGA
RNAcentral lists this ribosomal RNA (599 nucleotides) under Vibrio tritonius. RNAcentral describes it as "bacterial SSU rRNA". It matches the Rfam family "Bacterial small subunit ribosomal RNA", at positions 78 to 665 of the family's 1533-position model. Lineage: Bacteria; Pseudomonadati; Pseudomonadota; Gammaproteobacteria; Vibrionales; Vibrionaceae. The record is from RNAcentral.